GAAAAUGUCCUACAAUGUGCAUUUUAUUCCAUACCAUUAUACAAUGUUUACAUAUAGUUAUAACUCUUAAGAAAAUGAUUUUUCUUUACCAAUUGUACGUAGUGCCUAAAUCUUUCACUUGAACAUGGAGAAAUGGAGAGUGGAAGUCCACAUUGAAUGCUAUCCUACAAGUUGUAAUGAGCCGCAGGUGUGCCAAUGAGAAGGCCCUAGAAGUCUUAAAAGAGCAGCGUGCCUUACAAACCCUUGGCCGUUAGUGAAUUCAGGCAUACCGGAUCCGCAGUCUCAUCUCAUAAUAAAACUCAAGACAAAAUAAAUUAGUGUCGGACAGGAUUCUAAAUUGUACAAUAUUGAACGAAAGACCACAGUGGGACCUUUUGUUUAAAGUAGCACCAAUCCACACCUGAUUGCGUUUUCAACAUUAACCUUUCUGUUGAUACAUCGUUGGCACUUUGAGUGGAAAUCUUUCUGCUUUAGUGAGGAUUCCUAGACUGGCUGAGUAUACUGUGUUGCAAAACUCUCUACUAAGUGUGGCAACGUCAACCCGGGAAAUGGCACAUUUAAGUCAUUACGGCCCUGCCAUGGGCUCGCCUUGUCUGUGUGUAUGUGUGUGUGUUUUCCCCACCCCCUGACCUAGCUGGUAUCUUGUGGAUGUUUCUGUGACAGUGUAAAAGUAAAUAAAAAUGCGUUUAAGGGGUUUCAUGGUAAGCGUGGUGUUUCAAAACAAAACAAAACAAAACAAAACAAAACAACAACAAAACGACAUGAAAGAGUGUGGUCGCAGCUAAGGAGGGUUCACAUGUUGUUUAACUCCAGUAAAGUCUGAUCCAGCAUCUGGUGCAUACUAAGGUUUUCUUCUUUGGCAUGAGCCACUUUCUCUGUGAUGGGAUUAGAAAAUUAAGUCAUGAAUAGCUGCACUUUGGACACAGAGGCGGUUUGUACAUUUAGGCAGGCAAACAUCAGUCACAAACAAAGAUGAGAUGAUUAGGACAAGGCAUGCUUGUAAGAUACUGCUCAUUUCCAGACAAGGACCUACAAAGGGAGAAGACAUCUCUGACCCAAAGGGGCUAGAGGCACAGCAGGUUCUCACAGAGCAGUCAGGGGAACCUCCACCAACAGGCCACUCUGAACAGAGCACGGGUGGGGCUUGGUGAAGGUCCCCCGGCCGUAUGCCACAGGGACAGCGACGGUGCUUGCAGCACUCAAGUUACUUAUGGCAGACAUUUCUGAGUUACAGGCAGUUAAAGAUCUGGGAGCUGUGUUUAACACAGAAGACAGAGAUGAUAUAAGUAGAUAUUCUGACAACUUUUAAAAUGAUUUAUUUCUGUUGCUCAUUAAAAAAAAAUAUCCAAGUUUCAUGCACACUUCAGUAGGACAUUCUCUUACUAUUCUUAUAUUUAUUAUUAACAUGACAUUCUCACCAGAUUCCAACAACACCAUUAGACGGAAUAAAAGCAUACCUUUUAGACAAUCAGGGACUUCUGACAUGAGCUCCUGUUUUCAAAAGCUAUUUUGCCCAAGCAUAGGUACAUUUAAUCAAACGCUAUACCAGAUAUUAAGAAGUUAGGAAUAUGAAUAUGUAAUAGCAAUAUAUAUAUAUUAUAUAUUGCAUCAUAUAUAAUAUGUAUACGUAUAUAGUUACACACUCCUUGGCUUUGGCUUUCUAACUUAGGCAGAACUCAUUCUCUGUGGGAAACAGAAAACAAUUUUUGGUCCCCAUUCUGUAUCCGUUCAAACAAGAAGAACUGCGAUUGCUGGAUUGUUAUAAAUAUUUGAUCCAUAUACAUACACAUAAAUUUACCAUAAAAGCAGUUUUGGGUCUAAAGAGAACUUAAUUAUUCCAGAUUAUAAGAGGAAGAAAGACGCAGAUGAAGCCAGCCUUUCUGCUAACUCCCUCCAUGUACGAUUCUGCAGAGAGCAAGUGCUGUCGGCCCUAUU
RNAcentral lists this long non-coding RNA (1935 nucleotides) under Lynx pardinus (Iberian lynx). The record is from RNAcentral. Lineage: Eukaryota; Metazoa; Chordata; Mammalia; Carnivora; Felidae.